AGGACGGCUUGGGUUCAGAAGAUCAAGGCUGCAUCUGAAGAAUUUUUUGAGACAGAAAAGAAAAAAAGGGAAAAGGCCUAUCAAGCACGAUCUGUGAAGGCCAGUGGAAUAGGACGGCUCCUCGUCACCAUCUUGGAGGCCACUGAACUGAAGCCAGCCAAACCUAACGGU
Molecule: long non-coding RNA, 171 nt
Organism: Notothenia coriiceps (black rockcod)
Lineage: Eukaryota; Metazoa; Chordata; Actinopteri; Perciformes; Nototheniidae
Exons: 2
Source: RefSeq, a predicted model, not a curated record